This 249-nucleotide ribosomal RNA is filed under the name Klebsiella pneumoniae. Its description in RNAcentral is "partial 16S ribosomal RNA". It matches the Rfam family "Bacterial small subunit ribosomal RNA", at positions 538 to 786 of the family's 1533-position model. The record is from RNAcentral. Lineage: Bacteria; Pseudomonadati; Pseudomonadota; Gammaproteobacteria; Enterobacterales; Enterobacteriaceae.
GCGUUAAUCGGAAUUACUGGGCGUAAAGCGCACGCAGGCGGUCUGUCAAGUCGGAUGUGAAAUCCCCGGGCUCAACCUGGGAACUGCAUUCGAAACUGGCAGGCUAGAGUCUUGUAGAGGGGGGGAGAAUUCCAGGUGUAGCGGUGAAAUGCGUAGAGAUCUGGAGGAAUACCGGUGGCGAAGGCGGCCCCCUGGACAAAGACUGACGCUCAGGUGCGAAAGCGUGGGGAGCAAACAGGAUUAGAUACC